CAGGGUCAGUAGUUAUAUACAGGGUCAGUAGCUAUAUACAGGGUCAGUUCCAGUGUCAGUAGUUAUAUACAGGGUCAGUAGUUAUAUACAGGGACAGUUCCAGGGUCAGUAGUUAUAUACAGGGUCAGUAGUUAUAUACAGGGACAGUUCCAGGGUCAGUAGCUAUAUACAGGGUCAGUAGUUAUAUACAGGGUCAGUAGUUAUAUACAGGGUCAGUAGUUAUAUACAGGGUCAGUAGCUAUAUACAGGGUCAGUAGCUAUAUACAGGGUCAGUUCCAGGGUCAGUAGUUAUAUACAGGGUCAGUAGCUAUAUACAGGGUCAGUAGCUAUAUACAGGGUCAGUAGUUAUAUACAGUAUCAGUUCCAGGGUCAGUAGUUAUAUAAAGGGUCAGUAGCUAUAUACAGGGUCAGUAGUUAUAUACAGGGUCAGUAACUAUAUACAGGGUCAGUAGCUAUAUACAGGAUCAGUUCCAGGGUCAGUAACUAUAUACAGGGUCAGUAGUUAUAUACAGGGUCAGUAGUUAUAUACAGGG
Molecule: long non-coding RNA, 533 nt
Organism: Oncorhynchus tshawytscha (Chinook salmon)
Lineage: Eukaryota; Metazoa; Chordata; Actinopteri; Salmoniformes; Salmonidae
Source: Ensembl